AGAGUUUGAUCCUGGCUCAGAUUGAACGCUGGCGGAAUGCUUUACACAUGCAAGUCGAACGGCAGCACGGAGAGCUUGCUCUCUGGUGGCGAGUGGCGAACGGGUGAGUAAUAUAUCGGAACGUGUCCAAUAAUGGGGGAUAACGAGUCGAAAGAUUCGCUAAUACCGCAUACGCCCUACGGGGGAAAGCAGGGGAUCGUAAGACCUUGCGUUAAUGGAGCGGCCGAUAUCUGAUUAGCUUGUUGGUGAGGUAAAGGCUCACCAAGGCGACGAUCAGUAGCUGGUUUGAGAGAACGACCAGCCACACUGGAACUGAGACACGGUCCAGACUCCUACGGGAGGCAGCAGUGGGGAAUUUUGGACAAUGGGGGCAACCCUGAUCCAGCCAUUCCGCGUGAGUGAAGAAGGCCUUCGGGUUGUAAAGCUCUUUCGCAAGGGAAGAAAACUUAUGAUCGAAUAAAUCAUGAGGUUGACGGUACCUUGAUAAGAAGCACCGGCUAACUACGUGCCAGCAGCCGCGGUAAUACGUAGGGUGCGAGCGUUAAUCGGAAUUACUGGGCGUAAAGCGUGCGCAGGCGGUUUUGUAAGUCGGAUGUGAAAUCCCCGGGCUCAACCUGGGAACUGCGUUCGAAACUGCAAGGCUAGAGUGUGUCAGAGGGGGGUAGAAUUCCACGUGUAGCAGUGAAAUGCGUAGAGAUGUGGAGGAAUACCAAUGGCGAAGGCAGCCCCCUGGGAUAACACUGACGCUCAUGCACGAAAGCGUGGGGAGCAAACAGGAUUAGAUACCCUGGUAGUCCACGCCCUAAACGAUGUCAACUAGUUGUUGGUAGAGUAAAAUCUAUGAGUAACGUAGCUAACGCGUGAAGUUGACCGCCUGGGGAGUACGGUCGCAAGAUUAAAACUCAAGGAAUUGACGGGGGCCCGCA
This 926-nucleotide ribosomal RNA is filed under the name uncultured bacterium. Its description in RNAcentral is "bacterial SSU rRNA". It matches the Rfam family "Bacterial small subunit ribosomal RNA", at positions 8 to 925 of the family's 1533-position model. The record is from RNAcentral.